UGGAAAAGCCCAUCCAGCGAACUCAUUCGCAAAUUCUUCCCAUGUCAUACCGUCUAGUCUCGGGUCCACAUAACACUUGAACCAUUCCCGUGCCUUCUUGCACUUUAAAGUGAACCCUGCCAUCUGAAUGGCCCUGCUGUCACUUGCCCCUAGCUCAUCAGUUAUUGUCUUAACCACUCUCAGAUACUCAAAGGGGUCAUCCCCUGACUUGUAUUUGGGAGCAUCUAGCUUGAGGUAAUCUGUCAUCUUUACCUUGCUCCCAUCAGCUGAGCUAGGUCUAGGAGGUUGAGUAACUGGGGC
RNAcentral lists this long non-coding RNA (300 nucleotides) under Manihot esculenta (cassava). Its description in RNAcentral is "long non-coding RNA (MESC_LNC010274)". Lineage: Eukaryota; Viridiplantae; Streptophyta; Magnoliopsida; Malpighiales; Euphorbiaceae. The record is from RNAcentral.